Molecule: ribosomal RNA, 497 nt
Filed under: uncultured bacterium
Lineage: Bacteria
Description: partial 16S ribosomal RNA
Rfam family: Bacterial small subunit ribosomal RNA
Source: RNAcentral
GAUGAACGCUGGCGGCGUGCCUAAUGCAUGCUAGUCGAGCGAACAGACGAGGAGCUUGCUCCUCUGACGUUAGCGGCGGACGGGUGAGUAACACGUGGAUAACCUACCUAUAAGACUGGGAUAACUUCGGGAAACCGGAGCUAAUACCGGAUAACAUGUUGAACCGCAUGGUUCAACAGUGAAAGACGGUCUUGCUGUCACUUAUAGAUGGAUCCGCGCCGCAUUAGCUAGUUGGUAAGGUAACGGCUUACCAAGGCAACGAUGCGUAGCCGACCUGAGAGGGUGAUCGGCCACACUGGAACUGAGACACGGUCCAGACUCCUACGGGAGGCAGCAGUAGGGAAUCUUCCGCAAUGGGCGAAAGCCUGACGGAGCAACGCCGCGUGAGUGAAGAAGGUCUUCGGAUCGUAAAACUCUGUUAUUAGGGAAGAACAAAUGUGUAAGUAACUAUGCACGUCUUGACGGUACCUAAUCAGAAAGCCACGGCUAACUACGUG